GCCGCGAUAGUCCAGUGGUUAGAGCACUAGACACCGACUCUCGUGGUCCCGGGUUCGAUUCCCCGUCGCGGCG
RNAcentral lists this transfer RNA (73 nucleotides) under Penaeus chinensis. RNAcentral's name for it is "tRNA-Arg". It matches the Rfam family "tRNA". From Rfam's summary of the family: Transfer RNA (tRNA) molecules are approximately 80 nucleotides in length. Their secondary structure includes four short double-helical elements and three loops (D, anti-codon, and T loops). Lineage: Eukaryota; Metazoa; Arthropoda; Malacostraca; Decapoda; Penaeidae. The record is from RNAcentral.